CGCGUAGGCGGUUUGAUAAGUCAGAUGUGAAAGCCCACGGCUUAACUGUGGAAGUGCAUUUGAAACUGUCAGACUUGAGUAUCAGAGGGGAAAGUGGAAUUCCGGGUGUAGAGGUGAAAUUCGUAGAUAUCGGGAGGAAUACCGGUGGCGAAGGCGACUUUCUGGCUGAAUACUGACGCUGAGGCGCGAAAGCGUGGGGAGCAAACAG
Molecule: ribosomal RNA, 208 nt
Filed under: uncultured delta proteobacterium
Lineage: Bacteria; Deltaproteobacteria
Description: partial 16S ribosomal RNA
Rfam family: Bacterial small subunit ribosomal RNA
Source: RNAcentral